GAUGAACGCUGGCGGCGUGCCUAAUACAUGCAAGUCGAGCGAACAGACGAGGAGCUUGCUCCUCUGACGUUAGCGGCGGACGGGUGGGUAACACGUGGAUAACCUACCUAUAAGACUGGGAUAACUUCGGGAAACCGGAGCUAAUACCGGAUAAUAUAUUGAACCGCAUGGUUCAAUAGUGAAAGACGGUUUUGCUGUCACUUAUAGAUGGAUCCGCGCCGCAUUAGCUAGUUGGUAAGGUAACGGCUUACCAAGGCAACGAUGCGUAGCCGACCUGAGAGGGUGAUCGGCCACACUGGAACUGAGACACGGUCCAGACUCCUACGGGAGGCAGCAGUAGGGAAUCUUCCGCAAUGGGCGAAAGCCUGGCGGAGCAACGCCGCGUGAGUGAUGAAGGUCUUCGGAUCGUAAAACUCUGUUAUUAGGGAAGAACAAAUGUGUAAGUAACUAUGCACGUCUUGACGGUACCUAAUCAGAAAGCCACGGCUAACUACGUG
Molecule: ribosomal RNA, 497 nt
Filed under: uncultured bacterium
Lineage: Bacteria
Description: partial 16S ribosomal RNA
Rfam family: Bacterial small subunit ribosomal RNA
Source: RNAcentral